GACUUUCUGUUCUGACAGUGUUACUUACUCACCCUCCCCAACACUCCCAUUACAGUACUGCAGGAACAUCCCAGUUCAACACCUGGGAGGAUUAAAGUGGAGUUUCGGACCCUCGCUUUACCCUCAUUGUGGAAAAAUGAAGAGGCUGUGGGUCUUAGACGGACGGGCAUGAGAGCAGCGUGAGGUGGAAGCCUGUUCCUGGAUGAAAGCUGCAGUGGAAGUUCCCUCUCAUGGAGCGAAGGAACUCAAGGAGGGAAAGAGGAGAGGGGAAGAGGAAAGACGGCGCAGAGGGAAGGACUGAGUGGUACUUAUUGGAUGAAGACUUCAAAGCAGCACAGCAGCCAGACGGACUGAGGCUCCGGGGAAAUUAUUUACCUGACAAGCACACAGCUUUCCAAACAUUACACAACAUUACUGACCAAACAUUUAGAAAACAGAACCCUCUCUCCACAGAUUUAGUUAGGUGAAUCACAUCCGGUGAGUAAGCAGAUUAUUCAACAGAGGGACGAGAUGUCUCUGCUGUCUCUCUCGUCCCCCGUCACUCCAACUUUUCAAAAUCACAGAUGAUCAACACACUGGAACUGCUCACUGUGACGCUACAAUGAAGUUUACUUUUCUGCAGCUGUGUAACAUCUGUGGCUCAAAGAAGCUCAAAGUGGAAAAAAUAAACCUAAUGCUGCUGUCAGAUCAUCCCUCUACUGAGUUGCAUUAUGGGAACUCUAGGCUUUUGGAGCUUGACCCAACAAGAAACUAAAGGUCAGUGGACCUCUUCCUCUGCUGCUUUGAUCGUUCUUUUAAUCCAUGGCUCCUCUUUAUUUAGUAUCACUAUGACAGCUUGUAUCAAACGUCUAGUUGAUAUCGUACUUGUAUGACGUCCUAGCUAUUUUGUUUCAAAUAAUAGGAUAAUUAGUACUUUUUUUUCAAAAAGUGUUCAAAAAUGAUAUUUAACCACUUGAGAACGGUGUUUUAUUCACCAUUUAAAGAGAAGCUGAUCCAAUAGAAUCACAUAGCUGGCCACUUCUGUAGUUUCUAACAUAUUAAAACUAAGAAAGACCUUUCGUCAAAAAAAUAUUUAUAAACACAUGUUCUAAUCAUAGUUGCAAGCACAAUUCCAAGUGACUUAAAGCUGUGGAUCCCAAGAUCGC
Gasterosteus aculeatus aculeatus (three-spined stickleback) is the source of this 1145-nucleotide long non-coding RNA. The record is from Ensembl. NCBI's taxonomy places the organism in Eukaryota, Metazoa, Chordata, Actinopteri, Perciformes, Gasterosteidae.